UGAUUCCACCUGGGGAGCGGCUUACGCAGUAUCAGCUUGUUGGCGAGGUAACGGCUCACCAAGGCUAUAGACGCUUAGGGGGUGUGAGAGCAUGGCCCCCACCACUGGCACUGAGACACUGGCCAGGACACCUACGGUUGGCUGCAGUCGAGAAUCUUCGGCAAUGGACGAAAGUCUGACCGAGCGACGCCGGUGCGGGAUGAAAGGUCUUCGGAUUGUAAACCGUGUCAGAGGGGAUUGAAGUGUAACCAGAGUUAAUCUCUUGUAUUUGACAGAGCCUCCAGAGGAAGCACCGGGCUAAAG
RNAcentral lists this ribosomal RNA (303 nucleotides) under uncultured bacterium. RNAcentral's name for it is "bacterial SSU rRNA". It matches the Rfam family "Bacterial small subunit ribosomal RNA", at positions 210 to 502 of the family's 1533-position model. The record is from RNAcentral.